GGAAUGAGGACAUUCUAGAAAUUAAUGGACCUGCUUCUCGGAAAUAAAGAAUUGUAGUGUACUGGUUACUUCAUCCACAUUUAAUAGGUUCGGUUUGCGCGGGUUGAAUACUUGAAUGUGGACACUGAUAUACACAGGAUCAAAUACUUGGCAUUCAACCUACAGCGAGACCUCUUCCUGGUGGAGUACUACAGUGAAUGCUGGGUAACUACAUUAAAUUGUGGGUCAGUUUUAUGGAAUGGUCAAAUCAGGAUAAUCUGCCAUGCAACUUU
This 272-nucleotide long non-coding RNA is filed under the name Anneissia japonica. Its description in RNAcentral is "uncharacterized LOC117104497, transcript variant X2". Lineage: Eukaryota; Metazoa; Echinodermata; Crinoidea; Comatulida; Comatulidae. The record is from RNAcentral.